AUAAUGGGUCAGCGACUUAUAUUCUGUAGCAAGGUUAACCGAAUAGGGGAGCCGAAGGGAAACCGAGUCUUAACUGGGCGUUAAGUUGCAGGGUAUAGACCCGAAACCCGGUGAUCUAGCCAUGGGCAGGUUGAAGGUUGGGUAACACUAACUGGAGGACCGAACCGACUAAUGUUGAAAAAUUAGCGGAUGACUUGUGGCUGGGGGUGAAAGGCCAAUCAAACCGGGAGAUAGCUGGUUCUCCCCGAAAGCUAUUUAGGUAGCGCCUCGUGAAUUCAUCUCCGGGGGUAGAGCACUGUUUCGGCAAGGGGGUCAUCCCGACUUACCAACCCGAUGCAAACUGCGAAUACCGGAGAAUGUUAUCACGGGAGACACACGGCGGGUGCUAACGUCCGUCGUGAAGAGGGAAACAACCCAGACCGCCAGCUAAGGUCCCAAAGUCAUGGUUAAGUGGGAAACGAUGUGGGAAGGCCCAGACAGCCAGGAUGUUGGCUUAGAAGCAGCCAUCAUUUAAAGAAAGCGUAAUAGCUCACUGGUCGAGUCGGCCUGCGCGGAAGAUGUAACGGGGCUAAACCAUGCACCGAAGCUGCGGCAGCGACGCUUAUGCGUUGUUGGGUAGGGGAGCGUUCUGUAAGCCUGUGAAGGUGUACUGUGAGGUAUGCUGGAGGUAUCAGAAGUGCGAAUGCUGACAUAAGUAACGAUAAAGCGGGUGAAAA
This 716-nucleotide ribosomal RNA is filed under the name Escherichia coli. RNAcentral describes it as "partial 23S ribosomal RNA". It matches the Rfam family "Bacterial large subunit ribosomal RNA", at positions 612 to 1327 of the family's 2925-position model. Lineage: Bacteria; Pseudomonadati; Pseudomonadota; Gammaproteobacteria; Enterobacterales; Enterobacteriaceae. The record is from RNAcentral.